RNAcentral lists this long non-coding RNA (453 nucleotides) under Coturnix japonica (Japanese quail). Its description in RNAcentral is "lncRNA (ENSCJPG00005009543.1)". The record is from RNAcentral. Lineage: Eukaryota; Metazoa; Chordata; Aves; Galliformes; Phasianidae.
GUAACUGAGUAGCAGAGUACAAGCUACAGUCAUUGGGCAACCAAAGAAGCAGAUAAGCUACAAGGGCUGUAAGAGAAGUUUUCCCAUUGCUGCUUCCCAAGAACAACAGCUCAGAAGUAUACAACCCUGCCCUGCUAUCACAGCCUGCACCCUAAGAAGUAACCAGCAGCUACACUUUCAGCCUCUCUAGUAGCAAUCCUCCCCCAGCAAGCCGGUGGAAGCAGAACCCAAAUGAAAGUACACUAUCACCCAUUGAAAAACAACAGGUUAUUAAGGGCUGGAGAAUCAAAUCUGAAAGCAAAGUGGUGGCUGAAGACAUUUUGACAGAUAUCCUUCAAGAGAGUGAAUAAGUCAUGAAGCAUGGAGAUAUGAACAAGUGAAAGACGGUUGACUCAUGGAUCAGCCUGAAUUUCAAAUAUGACACACUUCUUUUGAUAUUCUGUGUAUUAGCAU